AGGGGGCCAGAUGCAGUGGGCUUGACCCGCUCGUUGUUGGGGGGAUUUCAAACCGCUGAUACACACAGGGAUUAGCCUAGCCUACACUGACUUCAUUUAAUUUAAUUUGUAUUAGGCCUUGUCUUUGAGGGCAAACAGGUUUUUACAGAGAGAAAGAGGAAAGCCAGGGUCACUGAAAACAACAACAACAGAAGGCCCGUCUCUCCGAAGCUCCCAGACCCCUUGUCUCCAUACUGCAGUCCUGGAGCCGCAUGAAUCUGCUCCAUACUGCAGUCCUGGAGCCGCGUGGAUCUGCUCCAUACUGCAGUCCUGGAGCCGCGUGGAUCUGCUCCAUACUGCAGGGAGGCAGGAGUCACCAGGACACGAAGACGACUUACAAUGUUAAGCAGAAGAGAGAGAAAAAAGGAAACUGCGGAGCUGAACUGCUGGCCUAGGAAAAUGAAAAAUGAAAACCGAGCAGCCGGAGACUAACAACAGUGACAGGCUCCAUGAGAGCGAGCUAAUGUACCGUGCACUGGGGAAAGUUGUUUUAUUACAAGGCAGAUCUAAACAACAUUAAAAAGGAAAGAGAGAAAAA
Coregonus clupeaformis (lake whitefish) is the source of this 577-nucleotide long non-coding RNA. RefSeq lists it as uncharacterized. Lineage: Eukaryota; Metazoa; Chordata; Actinopteri; Salmoniformes; Salmonidae. The transcript has 3 exons. The record is from RefSeq and is a predicted model, not a curated record.